UACGGGGGGUGCAAGCGUUGUCCGGAAUCAUUGGGCGUAAAGAGUUCGUAGGUGGUAUGUUAAGUCUGGUGUUAAAUGCUGAAGCUCAACUUCAGUUCGGCACUGGAUACUGGCAAACUGGAAUGCGGUAGAGGUAAAGGGAAUUCCUGGUGUAGCGGUGAAAUGCGUAGAUAUCAGGAGGAACAUCGGUGGCGUAAGCGCUUUACUGGGCCGUAAUUGACACUGAGGAACGAAAGCCGGGGUAGCAA
This 248-nucleotide ribosomal RNA is filed under the name uncultured Muribaculaceae bacterium. Its description in RNAcentral is "partial 16S ribosomal RNA". It matches the Rfam family "Bacterial small subunit ribosomal RNA", at positions 524 to 771 of the family's 1533-position model. The record is from RNAcentral. Lineage: Bacteria; Pseudomonadati; Bacteroidota; Bacteroidia; Bacteroidales; Muribaculaceae.